UCCGAAACCAAUCAUAAAUUACUCACAUUGUCCCUUUUAUGAGCCUUUGAGGCCCAAAAUAUGCAUUUGAAAUAAAUCAGGUGUAAUACCCUGAAAAUUACUACAGUAAGAAAGUAAUGUAUUAUCCUUAAUAUAGUAAAGUAAGGAAAUAAAGUGACAAAAAGGAAAAUUUUGAGUUAUGUCAACAUUAGGAAGUAUAUUAUGAUAUAUUAAUUCAAGAAAUGAUUAAAUCGCAAAAGUAAGAAAAGUUUUGUGGCCCAAGAGUAAACACUCAAAAUUUGAAGGGUUAAAGUGUAAAUAUGAAAAAGUUGAAGGACCAAUAGUGCUAAUAUUUUAAGGGUGGAAUGAUCUAGAAACUAAGGAAAAUGGAUGAAUUAAGACCAAAUAGAAUAGGUGAAAAAUUAUGAGGGACUAAAUCAUAAUUUUACCAAAUUAAGUGAUGACUGAAGAUAAAAUUUUAAAAGAUC
This 467-nucleotide long non-coding RNA is filed under the name Gossypium barbadense (sea-island cotton). RNAcentral's name for it is "long non-coding RNA (GBAR_LNC014501)". The record is from RNAcentral. Lineage: Eukaryota; Viridiplantae; Streptophyta; Magnoliopsida; Malvales; Malvaceae.